UACUGAAUCAAUGCAGUUGGAGACAGCACAGACCUUACCUUCAUCCUCCCACCAGGGAAGGAUAUGUCCUUGGCGCAAGGAGGCUGGCAGGACUUUCAGAAGUUACUCAGGUUCCACGUGCUUUGCCAUCGGGACAUUGUCAAAUGAGCAGGAAUUGGCGAUCCUGUAAAUAAUCUGCAGCAAGGGGAGCAGGUGCCAGGGGGCGCAGGAGAGCCGCCGGUAGGACACCCAUCCUCGGCCGGGAGGUGCUGCCGAGGGUAGGAAGAGUCCUUCGGUCUACGGAAUGUACAACUAAGCGCAUUUAAAGCAGCUCCCUGGACACGUCUACUGCCAUGAGAUGUCUCAGCCAAGGAUUUUGAGCCAAGAUAUGAGGGAAAUGGUUUAACCAGAUGUGUGCCCAUGCCUGUGACACUGAACUUUGAGAUGCUGAUAUUUAAAAAGAUUGCCAUCUCCCCUG
Molecule: long non-coding RNA, 457 nt
Organism: Manacus vitellinus (golden-collared manakin)
Lineage: Eukaryota; Metazoa; Chordata; Aves; Passeriformes; Pipridae
Exons: 3
Source: RefSeq, a predicted model, not a curated record